This 392-nucleotide ribosomal RNA is filed under the name uncultured bacterium. RNAcentral describes it as "partial 16S ribosomal RNA". It matches the Rfam family "Bacterial small subunit ribosomal RNA", at positions 523 to 918 of the family's 1533-position model. The record is from RNAcentral.
AUACGUAGGUGGCAAGCGUUAUCCGGAAUUAUUGGGCGUAAAGAGGGAGCAGGCGGCAGCAAGGGUCUGUGGUGAAAGCCUGAAGCUUAACUUCAGUAAGCCAUAGAAACCAGGCAGCUAGAGUGCAGGAGAGGAUCGUGGAAUUCCAUGUGUAGCGGUGAAAUGCGUAGAUAUAUGGAGGAACACCAGUGGCGAAGGCGACGAGCUGGCCUGCAACUGACGCUCAGUCCCGAAAACGUGGGGAGCAAAUAGGAUUAGAUACCCUAGUAGUCCACGCCGUAAACGAUGAGUACUAAGUGUUGGAUGUCAAAGUUCAGUGCUGCAGUUAACGCAAUAAGUACUCCGCCUGAGUAGUACGUUCGCAAGAAUGAAACUCAAAUGAAUUGGCGGGG